GACGAACGCUGGCGGCGUGCUUAACACAUGCAAGUCGAACGGAAAGGCCCUGCUUUUGUGGGGUGCUCGAUUGGCGAACGGGUGAGUAACACGUGAGUAACCUGCCCUUGACUUUGGGAUAACUUCAGGAAACUGGGGCUAAUACCGGAUAGGAGCUCCUGCUGCAUGGUGGGGGUUGGAAAGUUUCGGCGGUUGGGGAUGGACGCGCGGCUUAUCAGCUUGUUGGUGGGGUAGUGGCUUACCAAGGCUUUGACGGAUAGCCGGCCUGAGAGGGUGACCGGCCACAUUGGGACUGAGAUACGGCCCAGACUCCUACGGGAGGCAGCAGUGGGGAAUAUUGCACAAUGGGCGGAAGCCUGAUGCAGCAACGCCGCGUGCGGGAUGACGGCCUUCGGGUUGUAAACCGCUUUCGCCUGUGACGAAGCGUGAGUGACGGUAAUGGGUAAAGAAGCACCGGCUAACUACGUG
Molecule: ribosomal RNA, 468 nt
Filed under: uncultured bacterium
Lineage: Bacteria
Description: partial 16S ribosomal RNA
Rfam family: Bacterial small subunit ribosomal RNA
Source: RNAcentral